Gasterosteus aculeatus aculeatus (three-spined stickleback) is the source of this 1440-nucleotide long non-coding RNA. The record is from Ensembl. Lineage: Eukaryota; Metazoa; Chordata; Actinopteri; Perciformes; Gasterosteidae.
CACAACUUCACCAACAUGUAUGACAGAGAAGGGGUAGCCUGUUGAUUUCUCAACCCCCCCCCCAAACAUUUUUUAUUAGAUGUACUAUAAAAAGACCAGUCGAUACUGUCAGGAAUUUUUAACGUUUACAACAUGCUGCAGUGAAAUUAGGCUUUUUAGUUUUGCUAAUGCAAUUUCAGAAUCCAUUGCUGGCUUACGGAAAGGGUUUAUAAAGGUCUCAAAAUGUUUACCAGAGAGCCUCGCUUAAACAAUGAGACGAAACUAAGCCCUCACUGAGUUAGCGGGAAUGCGUGACGGUGCAGAUUGAUAUUGGGAAAACACACCAGGUCAGGAAGUGAAGUUAACCCAGGCUCACGAGAACUAGAAAGUAAACCCACACCGAGACAAUGAAUAAUCCACCCUUGGCUGAAUCCAGCCCUCAUUAAAGAAACCCGCCCCUGAUUGAAAUGCCUGUCACCCUACCAAGUACUGACAAAAACCUGCCUGUGGUCGUCUCCGCUGCUCUGUCUGUCUCUCUGGAUCGCUUCUAUUAAUAGUAACAGAUGCACAGGAGGGCAGCGACGCUGCAUGCUCAAAGGUCCAGCUGCCUUAAAAACAUCUGGCCGGGAACAGCAGAUGGAAAUUGGCCUUCCUGGCUCACUUACAGUACAUCUGUUGAUUAGUGUGCAUUGUGCCCUGCAAAAAUAACUGAAUAAGUAAAUAAAUAAAUAUGCUGUUUAAAAGAAAAACACAUCUUGCAUCCGGCCUGAGGCUUCAACACAGCAGUCGGUCAAAAUACCGGUCAAAGCAGGCGACCGGAAGUACUUCUUCCCCCCAGGGUCACGGCGAUGUGCAACGGGAGCUUGCCUACUAAUGAGGGGCCUGAGAGUGUGUUGUGCGUACAGACAACAAAGGAGUGUGUUGUAGCACCAAACCGUGUUUCAGCAACACAUUUUAACUCCCGACUCAUCAAACAAGGAUGUUGAUCAGCGGCCCACCGCUUCAAGCUAUGAAGCUCGUAUCAGUUUUGGACGAGAAAACACUCAAGUGUUUACUUUCCUCUUUUCCGAGGUCACGACAGUCAAACUAGUCCGUCGUGCUUUUUGAAACAUGAGAGCUGUGAAACGGAUGACUAGAAUGAGCUGAGAGUGUGUCACUGCUUCCAUUGUUUUUUUGUAACACUGUCGUGCUAUGAGUCACCACACAUUCAUUGUGCCAUCUGACAGCCUCAAAAUUGAUAUGUCAGCAUGGCCUGGCUUGCAAACACGAUUUGAUGUAUCUAUGUAAUAAAAUGCUUGUUGUUCAAGAUUGUUUCAUGUGUAAAAUCAGUCCCUUCAAAACCUCCGUAUUCCCAUAAAAAGUACUUUGACAUUACAUAACUUUGCUGUCUAUUCUACACUGCUGUCAUACCAGCAGGGUUUACUUUACAUCCACCCCUGGUUCCUUCUCACGUAAACACCG